Metopolophium dirhodum (rose-grain aphid) is the source of this 320-nucleotide long non-coding RNA. RefSeq lists it as uncharacterized. The transcript has 3 exons. The record is from RefSeq and is a predicted model, not a curated record. Lineage: Eukaryota; Metazoa; Arthropoda; Insecta; Hemiptera; Aphididae.
AGUGAACAAAAAAACAAUAAGCCACUAAUAUAAACAGACAGUUCGUUAAACCGUACAUAUUAUAAUUUUCAGUUCAUCGGAGUGAGAUGAUUAGAUGGAGAUGGAUGAAGAUGGCUGUUUCUUCGGCGAUGGCGGCACUCUAGCUACGUUUCACCGGAAGAGUAGAUGUUUACGAAGUCGUUGCAGAAGACACAUUCGACUAAAAAUUCUAAAAUUUCAAUAAGCAAAGAAGAUAUUCUAAGUUCUGGCUGUAUUCUGGAGCGUUUCCUCAUGGGCGUCGCAAUUCACACACGUCACAGAUUCCGCCGAAGGAGUCGAUA